RNAcentral lists this ribosomal RNA (492 nucleotides) under uncultured bacterium. RNAcentral's name for it is "partial 16S ribosomal RNA". It matches the Rfam family "Bacterial small subunit ribosomal RNA", at positions 29 to 507 of the family's 1533-position model. The record is from RNAcentral.
AGUGAACGCUGGCGGUAGGCCUAACACAUGCAAGUCGAACGGCAGCACAGUAAGAGCUUGCUCUUACGGGUGGCGAGUGGCGGACGGGUGAGGAAUACAUCGGAAUCUACUUUUUCGUGGGGGAUAACGUAGGGAAACUUACGCUAAUACCGCAUACGACCUACGGGUGAAAGCAGGGGAUCUUCGGACCUUGCGCGAUUGAAUGAGCCGAUGUCGGAUUAGCUAGUUGGCGGGGUAAAGGCCCACCAAUGCGACGAUCCGUAGCUGGUCUGAGAGGAUGAUCAGCCACACUGGAACUGAGACACGGUCCAGACUCCUACGGGAGGCAGCAGUGGGGAAUAUUGGACAAUGGGCGCAAGCCUGAUCCAGCCAUACCGCGUGGGUGAAGAGGGCCUUCGGGUUGUAAAGCCCUUUUGUUGGGAAAGAAAAGCAGCAGGUUAAUACCCCGCUGUUCUGACGGUACCCAAAGAAUAAGCACCGGCUAACUUCGUG